GGGGAUUUAGCUCAACGGUAGAGCACUUGCCUAGCAAGCGCAAGGCCCUGGGUUCGGUCCCCAGCUCCG
This is a non-coding RNA of Rattus norvegicus (Norway rat), 69 nucleotides long. Lineage: Eukaryota; Metazoa; Chordata; Mammalia; Rodentia; Muridae. The record is from Rfam.